RNAcentral lists this ribosomal RNA (408 nucleotides) under uncultured microorganism. RNAcentral's name for it is "bacterial SSU rRNA". It matches the Rfam family "Archaeal small subunit ribosomal RNA", at positions 330 to 745 of the family's 1478-position model. The record is from RNAcentral.
GUGCAGCAGUCGAGAAACUUUACAAUGUGCGAAAGCACGAUAAGGGAACUCUGAGUGCCUCCUAAGGAGGCUGUUCAGGUGUCUAAAAGCACCUGAAGGAAGGGCUGGGUAAGACCGGUGCCAGCCGCCGCGGUAACACCGGCAGCCCAAGUGGUAGCCACGUUUAUUGGGUCUAAAGCGUCCGUAGCCGGCUGGGUAAGUUCCUUGGGAAAUUUGGCUGCUUAACAGUCAAGCUUUCAGGGAAUACUGCCCGGCUUGGGACCGGGAGAGGUCAGAGGUACUCCAGGGGUAGGGGUGAAAUCCAUUAAUCCUUGGGGGACCACCGGUAGCGAAGGCGUCUGACCAGACCGGGUCCGACGGUGAGGGACGAAGGCUAGGGGCGCGAACCGGAUUAGAUACCCCUGUAGU